AUGUUCAGCAUCCCAGCAGGCAGAACACAUCUCUUCAGCCAGCUGGUCCCACCUGGAGGUGUCCCUGGUGAACCCAGACCUGCCCAGUUUGCCAUGCGAUGUCUCUCCUGUAUAUUUUGGCUUACCCAGUAUACGAUGCAGAACGAGGUCUUCACCCCAGGAAGGUUUGUACUAUGUGGAGGUGGCCUUUAAGGGACGUGCGAUUAACAACUUGACUGGGGUAGAGAAAGAAAACUACACUUUCAAGGUAACGACCAAGAAAGGAUAGAAGUGAUGAUGAACAGCUGAAGGCAUUGAAGGGAGUCAAAACUUCAGACUUUGUAUCACAGGAUAUGUAUUGAAAUAGUAUCUCUCAUAUUGAUUGCACGUCAGGACAUGAAGGCAAGAUGUUCCUUGUGUCCCUUCAAACUAGAUGAACCAAGGCAUUCAGUCUGGCACUGGAUAGGCUAUGAGACCUGAGGUCUUUCUGAAGGAAAAAUCUGGGUUCAAGUUAAAUUGUCUCUGUACCAAAGCCAUGCAGUCAGAAGACCAACUUGUGAAUUAUUUUUACCUUGUCUAGAAUCAUUGUCCAAGCAAUGAAUCACACUUCUCUGACUCUUGGGGCCUUACUGACAGAAUUUGUCACUUUCAACUAAACAAAUUUGUAAAGGUGUGCAUAGUCUGGCUAGCAUUGUGUACCAAAAAUUACGGGCUUAUCAAGCAAAGAUAGAUGCAGAUGAUGAAUAUCACGGCAUUUAUCUAUGUAAUGAGAAAUCAUAUCACAUCUGAAAUACCUAUGGGAAACUUCAGCUGUUGUUAUUCUCAGUCCACCUUGGUUCUGUCAGAAAUACCAGUUCAGGCCUUUCAUUAUUUCAAUUUGGAGACAAAAUCAAAAACAAGGAAUGAUACUGUGUUUUAAUGGAUUAACAAGGACUAUGGAGAGGUUGCAUUCAGCUCGAGUGACUGGAAUUACUACCUGAGACACUUUGCCCACCCUUUUGCUGACUGUAGGUGCUCACACUGUGCAGAGCAAUUGAUGCCAUCCCAGAAUCACAGGCUUGAGUAGAACAGGACAUCAGGGGUUCCAACUUCUUGCUUGAAGGGUUGGCUAUGAGAUCACAGCUAUUUUCUCAGAGCUUUAUUCAGUCAAGUCAUGAAAACCUCCAAGGAUGAAGAUUUUACAACAGCCCAGAGCUCUGCUCAGAUAUCUGACUAUCACAGAAAGGACCUCUCCAUCUCUGGGACAGCUCUCCAUACCAAAAAUGUACAGGUUUAGGAAAGCUCACACCUCAGUUCUGAUCUCAUCUCUGUUGCUGGGUUGUUUUGAGAGUCUAUAACACAUCCCCUACCACAGCAUUUUGCCUCUCAGUGUGAGAACACAUCCAUGGCUGUGUGCUUCAGGAUGAGGCCUAGUGUGUUCAGAAGUCACACCCCACCUCUGUGCGAACUUUAAGUAUCAAGCAAGAAAGCCCAGAGUUUCAGUAAAUUGCCCAUUAAAGCUGAAGAGUCAUUGGGUGGUUGAGCUAGCUUAGAGAGCUGAUGAAAAAUCACCAGGGGAUGCUGUUAAUGAGACACAUUCCAAGCUAAAUAAAACACAGUGUGUCUCUUUGUUUUGGGACUGG
RNAcentral lists this long non-coding RNA (1601 nucleotides) under Anas platyrhynchos platyrhynchos (common mallard). RNAcentral's name for it is "lncRNA (ENSAPLG00000028003.1)". Lineage: Eukaryota; Metazoa; Chordata; Aves; Anseriformes; Anatidae. The record is from RNAcentral.